This is a long non-coding RNA of Gadus morhua (Atlantic cod), 681 nucleotides long. RefSeq lists it as uncharacterized. NCBI's taxonomy places the organism in Eukaryota, Metazoa, Chordata, Actinopteri, Gadiformes, Gadidae. The transcript has 4 exons. The record is from RefSeq and is a predicted model, not a curated record.
ACUCUUUAUUAUGUCCAUGCUCCCACUACAAGUUACGCCUCCGUCAGGACGCAUACAGACCCUACUCUACGAUCGUGUACUACACGUAGUUCUUUCCUUGAGAGACACCAUGGCUCGCAAACGAGCGAAGCAUAGCAGUUGCUUAGUGUUUGGAUGUACAAAUGAAUACAAAAGUCUAUAUUUUGUUCCUUCCUCCGAGCCGCUGAAGAACCAGUGGGUUAAUUUUAUUGUCUCUGGAAAUGCGCCAGUCUGCGCCAAACAUUUCACUGACGACUGCUUCCUCAACUUGGGCCAAUACAGAGCUGGACUUGAUCAACGUCUGAAAAUCAAGUCUGGAUCAGUACCAACUCUCCAUGGCCCAGCUACAAACCUCGAAAAAGCCAGCUCAUCAAGUGCUUACAUUCAACAGCUUCUCUCAAGGGAUGUUGCCUGCCAGACAGACCACCUGGAAACACGUACUGUAGGCACACGGCUAUCCUUAAAGACUUCGCAGCCCCAUUUUAAAAGUGAAGAAGACUGCGAUGCCUUUGGAGACCGUAUCACUCAGCGCGGCGCCACCUCAGAGAGUCUGGGUGUGGACGCCCCUGGCUCCUCCCACUGGUCCAGUCGUAGCGAGGAACUGCUGCAGACCCCAGACACCAUUUCAAUCAAGGUUGAAGAGGAUAUUGGUGGAGGCAUGCC